RNAcentral lists this ribosomal RNA (335 nucleotides) under uncultured Anaerolineaceae bacterium. RNAcentral's name for it is "bacterial SSU rRNA". It matches the Rfam family "Bacterial small subunit ribosomal RNA", at positions 1035 to 1382 of the family's 1533-position model. The record is from RNAcentral. Lineage: Bacteria; Bacillati; Chloroflexota; Anaerolineae; Anaerolineales; Anaerolineaceae.
CAGGUGUUGCAUGGCUGUCGUCAGCUCGUGUCGUGAGAUGUUCGGUUAAGUCCGCUAACGAGCGCAACCCUCGCUGUGUGUUAUAUGUGUCACACAGGACUGCUGGUAUUAAGCCGGAGGAAGGUGGGGGACGACGUCAAGUCAGCAUGACCUUUAUAUCCAGGGCUACACACACGCUACAAUGGUCAGUACAAUGGGUUGCCAAGCCGCGAGGCGGAGCCAAUCCUAAAAAGCUGGCCUCAGUUCAGAUUGCAGUCUGAAACUCGACUGCAUGAAGUCGGAGUUGCUAGUAAACGCAGGUCAGCUAUACUGCGUUGAAUACGUUCCCGGGGCUU